Molecule: long non-coding RNA, 611 nt
Filed under: Olea europaea (common olive)
Lineage: Eukaryota; Viridiplantae; Streptophyta; Magnoliopsida; Lamiales; Oleaceae
Description: long non-coding RNA (OEUR_LNC001260)
Source: RNAcentral
AUUAACAAAUCUGACGAAGUCCGUUUCCAAGCUUGAUGGUUUGAUUAGUCAUUUUAGAGAGAUCCAACACCACAUAGCCGAGAAACUAAUGGAAAACAAGAAACCAGCUAUCGUUGUAAAAAUGAUUUAUACUCCAAAUUCAACACAGAGAAAGCAUACAUCGUUUUCUUUUUCAUUCAAUAAAGGGUCUCAAAAAUAUAAUCCUACCAAACCAAUCUUUUGACACUCAGAAAUGGGGUCUGAUUUCUAAUUUUCAUAAUGAAACACGACAUACACCUACAAAAGUACCAAGAUCGAAGACAUAGUCCCAUCGAUUCCACCUCCAUCCCAACUCCAAAGCCCGAAGAAAAACAAAGAACGUGUCUUGAAUCGGGAGCUACUCUUCAAUAGAAAGGAAAGGGAAACGGGAAGAUCUGAUUUCUGUGGAAGAGAGUGGAAGUAAGGUUUCUUUCUUCGAAUGGAUGAUAGGUAAAAGUGAAUGAAAGGUAGAUAGAGUGAAUUGAUAUUUUACCUCAUUUAGAGCUGAUAACCACCUUGUGAACAAUAGAGAACCGGUUCCAAUCACUACGAGUGUGAAUACCUUGCCACCAAAAUGAACAGUAACUUACCAU